GAUGAACGCUGGCGGCGUGCUUAAUACAUGCAAGUCGAACGGAGAUAGUAGCAAUAUUAUCUUAGUGGCGAACGGGUGAGUAACGCGUUGGUGACCUGCCCCGAAGAGAGGGAUAGCAGUUCGAAAGGACUGAUAAUACCUCAUGUGGUUGUUGGUUUUAGAAUCUGACAACUAAACGGAUUUAUUCGCUUCGGGAGGGGCCUGCGUCCCAUCAGCUAGUUGGUAGGGUAAUGGCCUACCAAGGCGAUGACGGGUAGGGGACCUGAGAGGGUGGCCCCCCACAAUAGGAACGUAGAACAACGGACCGACUACACCUACCGGGUGGGCAG
RNAcentral lists this ribosomal RNA (329 nucleotides) under uncultured Chloroflexota bacterium. RNAcentral describes it as "bacterial SSU rRNA". It matches the Rfam family "Bacterial small subunit ribosomal RNA", at positions 28 to 354 of the family's 1533-position model. The record is from RNAcentral. Lineage: Bacteria; Bacillati; Chloroflexota.